RNAcentral lists this long non-coding RNA (3159 nucleotides) under Canis lupus familiaris (dog). Its description in RNAcentral is "lncRNA (ENSCAFG00000053723.1)". Lineage: Eukaryota; Metazoa; Chordata; Mammalia; Carnivora; Canidae. The record is from RNAcentral.
UAUGUCUCUGCCUCUCUCUCUCUCUUUCUGUCUCACGUGAAUAAGUAAAUAAAUAAAAUCUUAAAAAAUAUAAAGUGCACAAUUUGAUACAUUUUGACAUAUGUAUAAGCCACUAAAACUAUCAACUACAAUCAAGGUAUCAAACAUUCCUAUCCACCCAAAAUCUUCUCAUGACCCUCUCUGACCCUCCCUCUGCCUUCCUUGCCACCCUCCAGCCCCAGGCAAUCACUGAGUUGCUUUACCUCACUGUAGAUGAAUUUGCAUUCUCUAGAAUUUUGUAAAAAUGGCAUCAUGUGGUAUGUACUUUUUUGGGGGUUUGGUUUCUGUCACUCAACAUAAUUAGUUUGAGAUUUAUCCAUGCUGUUCUUCUGUGUGUCAUAGUUUAUUGUUGAGUAGUCCUGUCAUGCUGAUAUACCACAGUGUAUUUAUCCAUUCCCCAAUUCAGGAACAUUUGAGGUUCCAUUUUGACAAUUAUGACUAAAGCUGCUAUAAACAUUGUAUUCAGGAUUUUGUGUUCAGGUUUUUAUUUUAUUUGGGUAAGUAACCUAGGAAUGGGUUUGCUGCAUUCUAUGGUAAACACAUGUUUAACCUUCAAAGAAACUGCCAAAAUAAUAUUCCAGAGGUGCCACACCAUUUUAUAUUCCCACCAACAGUGUGUGAGAUUUUCAGUUUUUAUUGUCAAUUUUUCUUUUUCUUUUUCAUUUUAUUUCUUUAUUUUUUCAAUUUUUCUUUUUAAAUUUAACUUUUCAAAAGGUGUGUAGCAGUAUCUCAUUGUGAUUUUAAUUUCCAUUUCCUAAGUGACUAAUGAUGUUGAGCAUCUUCUCAAGUGAUUGUUAUCUAUAUAUCCUUUCUCAUGUUUAAUUGGGUUAUUUUCUCAUUGAGUUUUAAUAAUUCCUUUUUUUUUAAUAAAAAGAUUUAUUGAUUAAUUUUAGAGAGAGAGCACAUGCAAGUGCCUGAGUGGGAAAGGGGCAGAGGGAGAGAAUCUCAAGCAGGCUCCCCACUGAAUGUAGAGCCAGACUUGGGACUUGAUCUCACCAUCCAUGAGAUCAUGACCUAAGCCAAAACCACAAGUCUGUUGCCCAACCAACUGAGCCACCCACAUGCCCCUUAAGAAUUUCUUCUGUGCUCUGGAUCUGAGUCCAUUCUCAAAUACGGGAUUUGCAAAGACUGUUUUUCAGUCUGUGGCUUGACUUUUCAUUCUCUUAAUUGUCUUUUUACAAAGUGAACAUUCAGUCUAACAUCUCUUUUUUGCAUUGUGCUUUUGGUAUAUCUAAGAACACUUUUAUAACCUAAGGUAACAAAGGUUCCUCCUACUUUUUUCUAAAAGUUGUUAAGUUUGUUUGUUUAGAUUUUAUUUAUUUAUUUGAGAGAGAGAGUGUGAGAGAGAGCACAAGCAGCAGGGAGACGCAGAGGGAGAGGGACAUACAGACUCCCCACUGAGCAGGGAGCCCCUUGUGGGGCUCUGGGGCUCUAUCCCAAGGCCCUGCAAUCAUGACUGGAGUCAAAGGCAGACACUUAACUGACUGAGCCACCCAGGUGCCCCUAAAAGUUUUACGUUUAGAUCUAUGAUACAUUUGGAGUUAAUUCUUGUAAAUGAUGUGAAGUAUGGAUCAUGGUUUGCUGCUUCUCUUUUCUCUUUUUUCCCUCCCCUCUCUGUCCCUUUUGCAUAUUUCCAUAUCUUCCAAUUGUUUUGACAUUUUUGAAGACUCCAUUUUUUUGUUCAAUUUCCUUUGUGUCUUUGUAAAAAUUCAAUUGGCCAUAUCUGUGUGUUUCUGGACUUUCUGUUCUGUUCCAUCAAUCAGUGUGUCUAUCUUUCUGCCAAUACCUUACUGCAGCUUUAUAGUAAGUCUUAAAUUUGGGUAAUGUGAAUCCUCCAAAUUUGUUCUUUUUUUUCAAAAUUAUUUUGGCUGUUCUAGUUUCUUUGCCUUUGCAUAUAAAUUUAAGAAUUGUUUUAUAAUAUUUACAGAAUAUCUUUCUGGGGUUUUGGGUUGGAUUGCAUCAAAUUUAUAAAUCAAUUUGGAGACAAUUGGCAGCUUAAAUUAGUUUGCUGAUCCAUGAUCCUUCUGCCUUUUUUGUUUUCUGUGACUUUUUUCUAUGAUUGUUCUGCACAUAUUUGUUAGAUUUAUAUCUAAGUAUAUCUGUGCUAUUGUAAUAGUAAUGUUUUUAUUUUUACUUUUUAAAAAGAUUUUAUUUAUUUAUUUACUCAUGAGACACACAGAAAGAGAGAGAUGGGAUGCUUGGGUGGCUCAUCAGUUUAGCACCUGCCUUUGGCCCAGGGCAUGAUCCUGGAGUCUUGGGAUCGAGUCUCACAUGGGGCUCCCUGCAAGGGGCCUGCUUCUCCCUCUGACUGUGUCUCUGCCUCUCUCUGUGUCUCUCAUAAAUAAAUAAAAUUAAAAAAAAGAGAGAGAGAGAGAGGGAGAUAGAGAGAGAGAGGCAGAGACCUAAGCAGAGGGAGAAUCAGGCUCCCUGCAAGGAGCGCAAUGUGGGACUGGAUCCUGGAUCCUAGGGUCAUGCCCUAAGCCAAAGGCAGACGCUCAACCACUGAGCCACCCAGGCGUCCCAAUAGUAAUGUUUUUAAACAUUUAUGUUUCCACUUGUUCAAUAUUAGAAUAUACAGAAACAUGAUUGAUUUUUGUGUGUUUACUUGGAUCCUGUGGCUUUGCUAAUUAUUAACUCAUUUUUAAGUUCUAGCACAUUUUUGAAGAUUCCAUGGCAUUUUCUACUAUCUGUAAAUGGAAACAAUUUUAUUUCUUCCUUUCCUUUCUGUAAGCUUUUCUUUUUCUGCAUUUGCUACAACUUCCAGUAUAUACUGAGUAGGAGCGGAAAGAGUGAACAUCUGGGCUGCUUCUAGAUCUCAGGGAGAAAGCAUUCAAGCUUUUACCAUAAAGUAUGGUAUUAAUUGUAGGGUCUUUGCUUUAUUUUUAUAAAAUAUCUUUUUUCAGGUUAAGGAAGUUCCAUUUUACUCCUGGUUUCUGAGAGUUUUUGUCUCAAAUAGACAUUGAAAUUUGCCAAAUGCUUUUUCCAUGCCUGUUGAGAUGAUCAUGUGGUUUUUCUUUUAUAUCUAUUACUAUGGGAAAUUACAUUGAUUGAUUUUUAAGUGUCAAGCCAAACUUGCAUUACUAGAAUAAAUGCCACUUGAUCAUAACAAUUAUACUUUUU